UAUUGAUGUCACAUAGAGCUAGAGUGCUUCUUGUGCAGCGUCACACUCUUGAGUUCUUCAGUCAGAACCAUUGCAGAAGAGAGAGAGAAAGCAAGUAGGAUUGUCUCCUAACAAGAGUUUGGAAACUAAAACUUUUCAAGAUUAAAAGGAAAAUAUUAACAAGCAAAUAAAGGAAAACAUGGGGCAGACUUUGUUCAGACAAAGAUCAAAGGUGAAUCAGCUCAAUAAGGCUUCAUCUUCUGAUUCUUCGAAUGAAGAAAUGGCUAGAGAGACAGAGAACAUCGAUAGCGUUUUGGAAGAAGACAAUAUGAUGUCGAUUGAAAGACAGUCACUUAUUAAAGAAAAUGAGGAGCUGAAGAUUAAAGUAAUGGAUGCAGAAAAAGCUGCACUUGAGAAAGACGAGGAAUUUAAAAAACUGUUUGAUGUAAACAGAACUUUAAAAGACGAUAACAACACAUUGAAACAGGAAAACACUGCACUGGAGUGCAGUGAUUUCCUCUGCCUUGGAAGAGGAAAAAGAUACAUUGAAAGGGGAAAUCACUGCACUGGAGCAGAAAAACACCGCACUACAUCAGGAAAACUGCAUUUUAAAACAGCAAAAAACCAUCUCGGAGGAGGAAACCGCCAUUCAAAUCAACACGCUGGAGCGGAUAAUUUCCUCUAUAGAGCAGGAAAACAACGAGCAGAGGGAGAUAAUAUCCGCAUUACAGGAGAGGGAAACAACACUCAGAGGGAGAGACUCUCUCAUUCAGAGCGGUUAAAUCGCGUCCUGGAGCGACGAAUAAACCGUUUGGAACAGCAAAACUCUGAUCAUGAGCAGGAAAACGGAGACCUGGAUCAGCACCCUGAAUUUGAGAAGAAGGCAACAGGAGCAGGAAAAAACCAACCAUCUGCUAGCCCUCACUACUCUGGAGGUGAAAAACACUGUCCUGGAGGAUGAAAAGGCCGCACUGGACAACGAAAAAACCACUCUGGAAGAGGAAAACACCGUCCUGGAGCAGAGAAUAACCCUCUUGGAGCAGAAAAACAAAACUUUGGAGCUGAAAAAUGCCACCCUAGAGCAGGGAAACAGCCCUCUGAAGCAGGACAACAGCGCCCUGGAGCAGGACAACAGCGCUCUGAAGCAGGUGAACAGCAGCUCUGAAGCAGCUGAACAGUUCUCUGAAGCAGGUGAACAGCGCUCUGGAGCAGAAGAACACCACCUUUGAGCAGGAAAACAGUAACCUGCAGCUUGAAGUGGAACAGCUGAACAAAAGGCUGAGGGACAGAAUGGAAGAGCAGAACCAGCAGCAAUCUGAACAGGAAAAGCACAAAGACAAACAGUUGGUUUCAGACCAGCCACAGAAUCAGCUGACUGUAUUCAGACGUGUGAUCAGAGGCAUCUGGAAUAUACUUCUCAAAAUGUACCUAACAAGCACUCUCAGGUAUUGCAUUGAAAUAUGGUACUUCUAAAGAAAGAAGUGUCAUGACGGCUCCAAGCUUCAUGCUUGAUUAUCGGUGGCCUCCAGACGUGCCUCCAGGGCUUCAUAGCAAGUCCCGUUGGUCUGCAGGUGACCUCAAGGGCUUCGUAGAGAGUCCUGUCGGUCUCCGAGCUGACCUCCAGGGCUUAGUAUUGAGUCUUGUUGGUCUCCUGGGCUGACUUCCAGGGCUUCGCAGCGAGUCCCGUUGGUCUCCGGGCUGACCUCCAGGGCUUCGUAUUGAGUCCUGUCGGUCUCCUGUUCUGGCCUCCAGGGCUUCAUAGCCAAUUCCGUUGGUCUCCCGGCUGACCUCCAAGGCUUCAUAGUGCAUCUCGUUGGUUCCUCCCAUGGGCUGACUUCCAGGGCUUUGUUGCGGGUCCCAUUGGCCUCCUGGUUCCCGUUCUGCUGCCAGCGUCCACCAAGGUUUCUACUCUGCUGCCGACAUCCUUGUGCUCUUCCUGUUUCUCCAGUUUGUCUUUGUUUUGCUUUUUUUUGUUCUCCACUGUUUUACCUCCUCCAAUCCCUCUGAUUGAAGCCGUUUCCUCCCAUGGGUUGAAUACGCUCACAAUAGUCAUAUCUCUGCAGCCACUGGUUUCUCUCUUUUCGAAGUCUCUCUAGGUUACCAGCCACAAUUGCUCUCCUCUCAUGAGAACAACAUUGCUGUCACAUCUGUACAACAUCACAUUGCCGCUGCAAGAACAUCUGGAAAACCACCAUCGAUGCCCUCAAUAACACCUCCACCCAGAACAAGCGCCUCGCUGACUGGAGACUGACCCCGGCUCCCAGCUACAUUCCUGGCCAGAAGGUUUGGUUGUCCUCCCAUGAUAUUCCGUUUAAAUCAAUGUAAUUUUGCCUUGUUUUCCACAUUCUUCAUGGGUGUUUCUAAUUAUGUUUAUUUCUUGUUUCUAGUUAUUUUCCUUUGUUCUAAUUAGGUUCCUUUAGUCUACUUACUCCUUUGUGUUUGUAUUUUUGUUAUUUCUCCUUGUGUAAUCUUUCCCCCUUUCCUUUGCCACUUUCUCUAUCCCUUCUCAGUCUGCUUCCACUCCCUCCACUCACAUCUGUUCAUCAGCCCAUGUCCUGGACAGUAGCGCAUUUGGUAGCACUGUUGCCUUGCAGCAAGAAGGUCCUGGGUUCGCCCGAGACGUGGAUGGGCAUCCUGCCUACACUGUCCGCUGGAUCGUGGACUCCUGUCGGCGAGGUCGUGGCUGGCAGUAUCUCGUCGACUGGGAGGGCCACGGUCCGGAGGAUCACUCAUGGGUCCCAGGUUCUUUUAUUCUUGACGCUUCUCUGAUUGAGGAUUAUCGUUCUUCGCUCCCUUCUUGUUUGUCUCGGCCGCCAGGUGGCGACCGUUGGGGUGGGGGCUGGGAAGGUACUGUUGGGAACCGGGGUUUUUGUUCCCUUUUGUGGAUUUUUUCUGUUCUCCCUGUUGGUCUGUGGCUCCUCCCUUCAUCCACCAGAUGGCACCAGAGGCUGUUUUCUGUGGUUCAAGCACACCUGUGUUUCAUUAUCCAAUCAUAGUGAGGCUUAAGAGGAGCUGACAGUCUGCACUUCAUUGCCUGAGUGUUAGCCAGUAAUGGUACUCUGAGCCUUCCUGAGUGUACUCUGAGCUUUAUCCGAGAAGAACUCUUUGUGAUCACUCUUGAUGCUUCCCUGUUCUCAGGUUUUUCCUCAUGAUGCCAAGUAUUCUCCUCGAGAAGACCUCGUUCUGGCUUUCUGGAUUUCCCCUCCUCGUGACGCCGUGGAUUAUUACUCACUGGUUGCCCGAGUCCCACCUUUUCCUCCUCCGUUUGAUCACAAACCGCUCCUGGACUCUCCAGCUGGCAGUCGGACUGCUCCUCUGUCUUCCUCCACGCCUGAACUUACCUGUCCGCCCUCCACCGCAGCCUCCACAUUUCCACACGGAACCUCUCUGAUUGAGCCACUCUCUGGAACCCGGUUCACCUUCUAGACCCACACAAAGGAUUCAUAAUCCCGAGCCCUCGGUCAACUCUCUCCCCAAAGGAAUGUUCCGUCAUUACAAUGUACCGACGACUUCUGAACCUGCCCCAGGGAUUAUUCUCACCUGACCUCUCUUGCCUUAUUGUAUUAAUAAACAUCCUCUAACUAAU
Molecule: long non-coding RNA, 3565 nt
Organism: Xiphophorus hellerii (green swordtail)
Lineage: Eukaryota; Metazoa; Chordata; Actinopteri; Cyprinodontiformes; Poeciliidae
Exons: 2
Source: RefSeq, a predicted model, not a curated record